ACAAGCAACUAAAACAAAAUUGUAUACCACAUGCACAUUCAACCUCACAAAGUUCAUCAUCCUGAACUCGUAUUGCAUUUCCGCAAUGGGGGACACUAGGGCACCAUUUAACUCUUUUGUUGUCCUCAAUAUACGAUUCAAAUAGAAAUCGAUCAAAUUUCUCUGCAAGAUUCGGAUUGUGCAUGCUAACUAAAUGUCUGAUUUUAACAUCAUCACAGACAGCAUUGCACUGGGGCGCCAUGCACCUAAUGCGUCUACUCUGGCCCUCAUUUAUCUUCACAAUAAAAUGUUGAGUCCAACCUAAACAGAAAAUUUAUUGUAAAAAUAUAUUGAUAUAUUUUUUCCAGGCACCAGAAAGAUAAAUUGACAUAUAUAUGCAGCCUAUAGAACAUGAGAGAAUGUAACCUCCUGCCUGAUGACAAAGCCCAUAUAAGGAUCUAGGACCUGGAAAACUCUAUAUUGAGAACUGAAUAUAGGCGAUACAUAUCUAUGUUAUCUUUAUCUUGCAUCAGGAGCUUGUACUUCUUCCUCUAACAAUUUUUGUCAACAAUGGUUAUUAAAAAUUUUGAGUAUAAACGUUUCAAUGUUCAUUAGAAUACCCAAAAUUACAUCUGUGAAAAUGAUCUUUAAAAUGGUUUUUGCUAGUUGCAUCUUUUUCAUUAAGGGGCAUCAUGUUGACACCAUUGUUACAAUCAACAGUAACAGCUAGCACAAAAUAGUGACUGCUGGACUAUGCAAUACAAAAAUUAUGGUUCAAUUGUUCUUGAAAGUUCUUCAGAUUGAUGAAACUCAGGUUAAGAAGAACAGUUUUGUGCAUAGGCAAUCAUACUGUUUUGGACAGCCACAAACAACUAGGAUUUGCAGCUUUAUUUAGUUAAAUUGUGAAAACAGAUAAAAUCUAGCAGUGUACUUACAGCUGUUGCAAAAGAAGUGACCACAGUCCAUGGCAGUCACCUCACUGGCAGAUACAUUAUCAAAACAAAUGUUGCACUCAAUCAUAGAUGACAACUCGGGUAAGAUAAUGUCAUCAUGAUCUAUGAUGGUCACACCCACUUCAGCAUACAAUUUAUCUCUCCCCUUUUCUAUGAGUAACUGAAGCACCCUAUCAACAUCCCAGCGAUGAUGAAUGAGUAAGCUCCGCGCCUGGU
RNAcentral lists this unclassified non-coding RNA (1148 nucleotides) under Hevea brasiliensis (rubber tree). Lineage: Eukaryota; Viridiplantae; Streptophyta; Magnoliopsida; Malpighiales; Euphorbiaceae. The record is from RNAcentral.